Molecule: long non-coding RNA, 1131 nt
Organism: Equus quagga
Lineage: Eukaryota; Metazoa; Chordata; Mammalia; Perissodactyla; Equidae
Exons: 3
Source: RefSeq, a predicted model, not a curated record
GCGACCGAGGCAGCGAGGGAGUCAGCGAGCGAGGGAGAGGCGAGGCGGCCUGAGCCCGGCGCCCAGCCAGCCGCAGCGCAGCUCGCGCCGGGAGCUCACGGUGUCCGGGCAUCUCCGGGGCGGGUGUGUGCGCGGGGCCUCGCCGCGUCACGGGGCAUCCACAGUGCUGCCCGCCCGCUAGUCUGCCCGGAGCACCAGGCUCCCAGGUGCCCGGCUUUCACUUCCUCUCGCCUCCCACUCCUCCCUGGCUCUCCAGCUGGCAUCGCCACCGCCUCGUAGUUCCAGUCACCGCUGUUGCUGCUGCUGCGAUCCAGGACGCACACUCUUUCACUUUCCCGCUGGAGGCGCGGAGGAUGCCCCUUGCAUCAGAGCCAGAGAAAUAGCCCCGGCCUGGCUGGAGGAGCCUCGGUGGCUAGAAAGGAAAUCAAGACACCGCUUUCCUUGUCCCUGCAGCAGCUGGCAGCUGGGAAGGCGGCCACAGAGCAGGCGGGCCGAGUGGGACGCGGGAGUUGCAGAGAGAGACACCAGGAGCCUGCUGGGCUCUGCUAUCAGUUUGCAAGUGGCUGAGACCUCCUCAGGGAAUUUGCUUGAGGAUAUGCUUCUUCAGGUGCACAUUCUUCUUAACUUCUCCGGGGUGUGUUUCCCUUGACCCCAUAUUCCUAGCACCUGGCACCGUGUCUGCUAGUGGCUCCACCCAGAGACCAACCGGACUCCGACUCAGGCUUGGACUCUUACCCGGUGGAUGUCCUUGCACAGCCACUGCACUUCUCUAAGCCUCAGUGUCCUCGUCGGCUCAGUGGGGAUAAUAAUUGUACCUACUUCAGAGGAUCAUGAAGAUUUCACAGGUGAACACCUGGAUCACAGCACAGGGCCCGGCCCAGGGAGAGGCUUCAGUAACGCACAGAUCCAGGACUCCAUGCAGCUGAGGAAAUCAACCCCUGGGGCAAGCUGACCUUGGAGGAUCAAACCUGAGACAUCUCUGGGAGACCCUGUGUCCUGUGAACUUGUUUGUCACCCAUGGCCCUUCCUGAUUCUCCAGUUGACCUCAGCGCUCCAGAAACAGAAGGUCAAAAGCCCCUCGUUGCUCCUUCCUCAUCUCUCUUCCUUUUCCUCUCACAAUAGAAUAAACUA